CAAGACCUUGCGCUAUUGGAGCGGCCGAUGUCCGAUUAGCUAGUUGGUGAGGUAAAGGCUCACCAAGGCGACGAUCGGUAGCUGGUCUGAGAGGACGACCAGCCACACUGGGACUGAGACACGGCCCAGACUCCUACGGGAGGCAGCAGUGGGGAAUUUUGGACAAUGGGGGCAACCCUGAUCCAGCCAUGCCGCGUGUGUGAAGAAGGCCUUCGGGUUGUAAAGCACUUUUGGCGGGAACGAAACGGUCUGUGCUAAUACCACGGACUAAUGACGGUACCCGCAGAAUAAGCACCGGCUAACUACGUGCCAGCAGCCGCGGUAAUACGUAGGGUGCAAGCGUUAAUCGGAAUUACUGGGCGUAAAGCGUGCGCAGGCGGUUUCGCAAGUCAGAUGUGAAAUCCCCGGGCUCAACCUGGGAACU
This 424-nucleotide ribosomal RNA is filed under the name uncultured beta proteobacterium. RNAcentral describes it as "bacterial SSU rRNA". It matches the Rfam family "Bacterial small subunit ribosomal RNA", at positions 207 to 622 of the family's 1533-position model. Lineage: Bacteria; Pseudomonadati; Pseudomonadota; Betaproteobacteria. The record is from RNAcentral.